Hyla sarda is the source of this 508-nucleotide long non-coding RNA. RefSeq lists it as uncharacterized. The transcript is spliced from 3 exons. The record is from RefSeq and is a predicted model, not a curated record. NCBI's taxonomy places the organism in Eukaryota, Metazoa, Chordata, Amphibia, Anura, Hylidae.
CUAGGGGUCCCCAUACCAUCCAUCCAUCCAACAUAAUACUGUCCGGCUGCAGCAUCAUCUUUGUCCCAGUUGAAAAAAACGGCAGGGACAAAAUCCAAAGAGUAGGAGCGGGACUAGCACUCCUCUGUGCUUACUCAUGUCCUGUCAGACUGCAGGAUGAAAACAGAGAGGAAAGGGUUACAGAGCAGCCUGCAGUGAUUGGAUGAAGAAACCCAGCAAAGCACAGAAGAUACAGGGAGGAAGUGAAUGCAUGAGUAACUUGUUCACGCUGUCAUCAGCCAUUGUUCUGGUAAAUGGCGAGUUAAACAGAUAUAUCCAAGCGUAAAAUACUAAAAAAUGGUCCCUGCGGACGCCUGGGGGCUGUUGUUUGAAAUCAAGUACAUAUCAAUUGAGCAUCGAAAUCAAGGUAAAGGACGAUCAGGAAGAUCAGAACAAAGUAUCAAAGAAGAAACUUCUCCUCCCAUGUUGCAUAAUCUCCAUGGUUUCUAUUUCCUGAGGAUGACACAAG